This 453-nucleotide unclassified non-coding RNA is filed under the name Hevea brasiliensis (rubber tree). Lineage: Eukaryota; Viridiplantae; Streptophyta; Magnoliopsida; Malpighiales; Euphorbiaceae. The record is from RNAcentral.
GUAGCUCCUCUCAACUCCCAACUCCAUUGGCUUUAAUCAAUCACUCUUCAGAGUAAAUCACAAGGCAGGUAAUUCUCACCGUUGUUCAUGGAGAAAAGACACUUCCGUGAAAUCCCAUAUUCUUUUUCGUCUCUUCUUUUUCUCCUCCACUUCUUAUCGCUUCAACUUCCCUCUUCAGCUUACACUCGCCCCGAAGAGUAUUUCAUCAGCUGUGGUUCAGACACCAAUAUAUCCUCCGCCGGCCGGACCUUCACCGGUGACUCAUCUUCUGGAAAUUCUCUUUCCUUCACCUUCAAAGGGCAGAGCAGCACUGUUAAAGAUAGCAACAGAUCAACAAAAACACCAUCUCUGUAUCAAACAGCUAGACUUUUCAGGGAAAAUUCAUUUUAUGAGUUCGAAAUCAGUACCUCUGGUACUUAUCUGCUACGCCUACACUUCUUUGCUUUCUCAUCC